This 421-nucleotide small RNA is filed under the name Pongo abelii (Sumatran orangutan). RNAcentral's name for it is "retained intron". The record is from RNAcentral. Lineage: Eukaryota; Metazoa; Chordata; Mammalia; Primates; Hominidae.
GGAUCCUGACAGUGAUCAACCUCUGAACAGCCUCGUCAAGGUGAUUCUGGAUAAAUACUACUUCCUCUGCGGGCAGCCUCUCCACUUCAUCCCGAGGAAGCAGCUGUGUGACGGGGAGCUGGACUGUCCCUUGGGGGAGGACGAGGAGCACUGUGUCAAGAGCUUCCCCGAAGGGCCUGCAGUGGCAGUCCGCCUCUCCAAAGACCGAUCCACGCUGCAGGUGCUGGACCCGGCCACAGGGAACUGGUUCUCUGCCUGUUUCGACAACUUCACAGAAGCUCUGGCUGAGACAGCCUGUAGGCAGAUGGGCUACAGCAGCAAACCCACUUUCAGAGCUGUGGAGAUUGGCCCAGACCAGGAUCUGGAUGUUGUUGAAAUCACAGAAAACAGCCAGGAGCUUCACGUGCGGAAUUCAAGUGGG